GCUGCAGUCCGCAUCUGAGAUAUAUUCUUGCCUCAGUCCGCAUCCUAUCAGUCCGGGCCCACGCCAUCCAGGUAUUGGCCGAUGGAGGCAGAAGGCUGGCUUCCUCUCCUCCGCCGCCGCAUUUUAUCCGUCCCGCCCCGCGCCAUCCAGGUGACAUGGAGGAAGAAAGAAUAAGUGUUGGGUUACAGAAAAGUAUGAUGCAGGACUCGGUGACCUUUGAGGAUGUGGCUGUGGACUUUACCCAGCAGGAGUGGGCUUUGCUGGAUCUUGCUCAGAGGAGCCUCUACAGAGAUGUGAUGCUGGAAACCUUCCAGAACCUGGUCUC
This is a non-coding RNA of Marmota flaviventris (yellow-bellied marmot), 325 nucleotides long. Lineage: Eukaryota; Metazoa; Chordata; Mammalia; Rodentia; Sciuridae. The record is from RefSeq and is a predicted model, not a curated record.